GGCAUUGUCUCAUCCACAACGUGAUGAAAAUGGGCUCUCAUUGCAGAUCAAACUUCUUUGUAUUUGAGCUGAAAUCAAUUACUUCAAAGAAUUAUUUUUUAUUUUUUUUUACUAAGCUGUAUGAGCAUAUUCAUGUAGAGUAAACACAAGUCUUCUGGCUGAACCAAAGGUUUGAGAACACAGAGAGCACAGGCAGACCACACACAAAUAGAUCUUGGUAACGAACAAACAACCCCCAAAACAGUUACUCUUAGAUGGUCCGUUUAUAUUUUUGUAGCAGUUGCAAUCUGUUGAGACAAUAAAAAGUUUCACAAGUCUUUAAAACACGUUGUCUAGCAACAAAAAGGUUACUGACAUAGUUCAGUACAGUUUGUCAGGUAUGCCUACUUUUCACAAGGACUGUCUGUUUUCAGAUGCUUACUAAUGAGAAGGGGAUCAUUGGAGGAUAUGUUGAACAAUUUGGGUUUUGCAUCAUUUAUUCAUUGUUCAAGCAUCUGAAGAUGACCGAGAGAUUUAUAAAUGAUAUGUAGGGGAGACCAGGGCUUGUUGUCACAACUUUUAAGAUUUCUUUUUUUGGAUACACUUUAUUUGGAUAGUCUGUAGAGCAUCUACAGAUGGACUAUCUACUAACCCUAGCUUUAAUCUCAACCCUUAUCAUAACCCUAAACUUAACCCUUACCCUAACCUUAGUCUAUCUGUUGAUUAACAACUGCUUGCUAUCUAAAUAAAGUGUGACCGUUUUCUCCUCAAUUCAGCUUUAGUGUGUAGCCUACCACCAUUUUGUUUCACAUUGACUGAAAGAAGAGCUAUUCAUGGAUUACUGGGCAAUUAAAUAUUUUUUUAUCUAUGUUGCCACAUAAAUGUUAUUGUAACAUUUCCUCAAAGGAGGGCUCGCUAUGAAACCGUGUGUCCUGCUGGGGAAAACCCUCUUUCAUUCAGUUUCCAUCUCUUUGACAGAAAACAUACCCACUGGAUCAUCAGCUCCAUUGUUGAUAACUGUACACCCCACUGAUAUUGACAAGUUUGAGGGAAUCCAACAAGGAUAAAGCAGAUCAUUUUCUUAGGUGGUGAAAGACAUUCACCUGUGACAAUUUCAAUAUUCAAAGCUAGGGAUAUGAAGCAGCUAAAUACAUUCCGUAAACACCAAAAUACAAAGAUCUGUAGCUUUAAUUUUUAGUACCUUUUCUUGUCGUUACGAGGUCUGUGACAACUUCUGUAUCUCUGUGGAUAUUCCGCUCCUGGUCUCCCCUAUUUCACAUAGCAACAACAUGACUACACAAAGUCAACAUUUUAGUGUGUAGACCAGAAAAUGAAGGUGAACAAAUAUAUUUUUUUACAAGUCUCUUCCAUAAUGUUGCUGCUUUAAGUGACAUCCACAUCUGC
RNAcentral lists this long non-coding RNA (1383 nucleotides) under Salmo salar (Atlantic salmon). Its description in RNAcentral is "lncRNA (ENSSSAG00000088097.1)". Lineage: Eukaryota; Metazoa; Chordata; Actinopteri; Salmoniformes; Salmonidae. The record is from RNAcentral.